Non-coding RNA from Pteropus alecto (black flying fox), 116 nucleotides. NCBI's taxonomy places the organism in Eukaryota, Metazoa, Chordata, Mammalia, Chiroptera, Pteropodidae. The record is from Rfam.
GUCUACGGCCAUGCCACCCUGAACAAGGCUGAUGUCUGAUCUCAGAAGCUAAGCAGGGUCGAGCCUGGUUAGUACUUGGAUGGGAGACCACCUAGGAAGACCAGGUGCUGUAGGCA